GCGGGGUUCAACCCAAAAAGGGGGGGGGGACCCCAAACCCCAAACCUGCGGCGUGCUGCUGCCUUGCUGCCUCUGCUCCGCAUCUCCCGACCCCCACAUUGCCCCCCCAUGGCCCUACAACCCUAUGGGGCGACCCUACAACCCUAUGGGGCGACCCUACAACCCUAUGGGGCGACCCUACAACCCUAUGGGGCGACCCUACAACCCUAUGGGGCGACCCUACAACCCUAUGGGGUGAGCCCAGGGGAGGGGGAUGGGACAGACAGUGAGGUGGGGGGAGCACAGAGGGUGCAGCAGCAGAGGAGAAGUGCAGCGCCCAGCAGCAGUGCAGCACCAGCAGCAAUGCAGCGCCCGGGAGCAAUGCAGCACCCAGCAGCAGUGCAGCAGCAGCACAGCAGUGGCAGCGAUGCAAAACCCAACCCCGCCUCCCCUCCCCUCCCCCAUCCCAAAUGCACGCAGCCCCAGCGCAGCAGCAGCACAAGUGUUGCUGCAGGGAUGCAAGGAUGCGUUGCUGUGGGGGUGCAGGGAUGGCAAUGCUGCAGAGAUGCAGGGGUGUGUGGAUGCAGGGUGCAGGGCUGCAGGGAUACAGAGAUGGGCAGAUGCAGGGCUGCAGGGAUGUGGAUGCGGGACUGCAGAGAAGCAGGGAUACAGAGAUGUGUGGAUGCAGGGAUGCAGGGGUGUGGAUGCAAGGCUGCAGAGAUGCAGGGACGCAGAGAUAUGUGGGUGCAGGGCUGUGUGGAUGCAGGGCUGCAGAGAUGCAGGGAUGCAGAGAUGUGUGGAUGCAGGGAUACAGAGAUGCAUGGCUGUGUGGAUGCAGAGAUGCAGGGCUGCGUGGCUGCAGGGCUACAGAGAUGUGUGGAUGCAGAGCUGCAGGGCUGCAGGGCUGUGUGGGUGCAGGGCUGCAGGGAUACAAAGAUGCAGGGAUGAGGAUGCAGGGCUGCAGGGCUGCAGAGAUGUGUGGGUGCAGGGAUGGAGGGCUGCAGAGAUGCAGGGAUGUGGAUGCAGGGCUGCAGGGCUGUGUGGAUGCAGGGGUGCAGAUGCAGGGCUGCAGAGAUGCAGGGCUGUGUGGAUGCAGGGAUGGAGAGAUAGGCUGCAGAUGCAGGGAUACAAAGAUGCAGGGAUGUGGAUGCAGGGCUGCAGGGCUGUGAGGAUGCAGGGCUGCAGAGAUGCAGGGCUGCAGGGCUGCGUGUGCAGGGCUGUACCUGAGAAGAAAUGCGCCUUGAAGCCCUUCUUGGACACGGUGUUGUCGGACUUGAACUCGAUGCGCAUGUUGUUGUACUGCGACGUGAUGACGGCCGGCCGCGCCGCACCGCAGAACUUCCCGUGCAGCUUGGAGUCGGCCGUCAGCCCGCUGCGCACCUCCACAAAGUCGUACUUACACACCUGGGGGGGGGA
RNAcentral lists this long non-coding RNA (1395 nucleotides) under Chrysolophus pictus (golden pheasant). RNAcentral's name for it is "lncRNA (ENSCPIG00010005676.1)". The record is from RNAcentral. Lineage: Eukaryota; Metazoa; Chordata; Aves; Galliformes; Phasianidae.